RNAcentral lists this ribosomal RNA (253 nucleotides) under uncultured bacterium. RNAcentral's name for it is "partial 16S ribosomal RNA". It matches the Rfam family "Bacterial small subunit ribosomal RNA", at positions 524 to 776 of the family's 1533-position model. The record is from RNAcentral.
GACAGAGGAUGCAAGCGUUAUCCGGAAUGAUUGGGCGUAAAGCGUCUGUAGGUGGCUUUUUAAGUCCUCCGUCAAAUCCCAGGACUCAACCCCGGACAGGCGGUGGAAACUGUGAGACUAGAGUGUGGUAGGGGCAGAGGGAAUUCCAGGUGUAGCGGUGAAAUGCGUAGAUAUCUGGAAGAACACCAGUGGCGAAGGCGCUCUGCUGGGCCAUAACUGACACUGAGGGACGAAAGCUAGGGGAGCGAAAGGG